UACGGCCAUAUUCCGUUGAAACAUCGGUUCCCGUACGAUCACCGACGUUAAGUAGCGUCGAGCUUGGUCAGUAUCUAGAUGGGUGACCGCUUGGGAAUACCAGGUGCUGUAAG
Molecule: non-coding RNA, 113 nt
Organism: Acanthosepion pharaonis
Lineage: Eukaryota; Metazoa; Mollusca; Cephalopoda; Sepiida; Sepiidae
Source: the annotation of a GenBank genome assembly